This 357-nucleotide ribosomal RNA is filed under the name uncultured bacterium. RNAcentral's name for it is "bacterial SSU rRNA". It matches the Rfam family "Bacterial small subunit ribosomal RNA", at positions 22 to 356 of the family's 1533-position model. The record is from RNAcentral.
GCUCAGGACGAACGCUGGCGGCGUGCUUAACACAUGCAAGUCGAACGAAGAGCGAUGGAAGCUUGCUUCUAUCAAUCUUAGUGGCGAACGGGUGAGUAACGCGUAAUCAACCUGCCCUUCAGAGGGGGACAACAGUUGGAAACGACUGCUAAUACCGCAUACGAUCUAAUCUCGGCAUCGAGGAUAGAUGAAAGGUGGCCUCUACAUGUAAGCUAUCACUGAAGGAGGGGAUUGCGUCUGAUUAGCUAGUUGGAGGGGUAACGGCCCACCAAGGCGAUGAUCAGUAGCCGGUCUGAGAGGAUGAACGGCCACAUUGGGACUGAGACACGGCCCUGACUCCUACGGGAGGCAGCAGUA